UACGGAGGGGGCUAGCGUUGUCCGGAAUUACUGGGUGUAAAGCGUGCGCAGGCGGUCUGUUAAGACCGAUGUGAAAUCCCCGGGCUUAACCUGGGAACUGCAUUGGUGACUGGCAGGCUUUGAGUGUGGCAGAGGGAGGUAGAAUUCCACGUGUAGCAGUGAAAUGCGUAGAGAUGUGGAGGAAUACCGAUGGCGAAGGCAGCCUCCUGGGCCAACACUGACGCUCAUGCACGAAAGCGUGGGGAGCAAACAGG
Molecule: ribosomal RNA, 254 nt
Filed under: uncultured bacterium
Lineage: Bacteria
Description: partial 16S ribosomal RNA
Rfam family: Bacterial small subunit ribosomal RNA
Source: RNAcentral